This 397-nucleotide long non-coding RNA is filed under the name Leptinotarsa decemlineata (Colorado potato beetle). Its description in RNAcentral is "uncharacterized LOC111509573". The record is from RNAcentral. Lineage: Eukaryota; Metazoa; Arthropoda; Insecta; Coleoptera; Chrysomelidae.
GACUGCUAGUGUAAUCACUGUUGUUUGGUAUACCUUUUGGUAAUCCUGGUUUAGUUAUAUUGUCAAUUUUCAAAUUUUAAACUUCAAAUGUCAUAAUGUCAAUUAUCAAUUUGCAGAUAUUUCCUGUUUCCUUUCUUUCUAGUUGCUACCACGCCACUAGUAAGUGCCAUGCAUGGCCGUUAAAAUAAAAUUUAAAAUUUCAAAUCCUCUAAAUGUUAUUUCUGAAUAAAGUUUAUAUAUAUAUUUUCUUUAAACCAUAAAAAUUUUAAUGUGUGACACUUUUCUACAUAAUGAAAAGGACUUUUUUGUGUUUCUCAGUGAAAUUUUCGACUUUUUAAUAUAACCUCAAGUUAAUGUCUUGAUAAAGGGAAUAAACAUUCUCGAAAGCUCGACCAUA